This 420-nucleotide ribosomal RNA is filed under the name uncultured bacterium. RNAcentral describes it as "bacterial SSU rRNA". It matches the Rfam family "Bacterial small subunit ribosomal RNA", at positions 335 to 769 of the family's 1533-position model. The record is from RNAcentral.
ACUCCUACGGGAGGCAGCAGUGGGGAAUCUUAGACAAUGGGGGCAAACCCUGAUCUAGCCAUGCCGCGUGAGUGAUGAAGGCCUUAGGGUCGUAAAAGCUCUUUCGCCAGGGAUGAUAAUGACAGUACCUGGUAAAGAAACCCCCGGCUAACUCCGUUGCCAGCAGCCGCGGUAAUACGGAGGGGGUUAGCGUUGUUCGGAAUUACUGGGCGUAAAGCGCGCGUAGGCGGACUAGAAAGUUGGGGUGAAAUCCCGGGCUCAACCUCGGAACUGCCUUCAAAACUCCUAGUCUAGAGUUCGAGAGAGGUGAGUGGAAUUCCAAGUGUAGAGGUGAAAUUCGUAGAGUAUUUGGAGGAACACCAGUGGCGAAGGCGGCUCACUGGCUCGAUACUGACGCUGAGGUGCGAAAGUGUGGGGAGC